Molecule: ribosomal RNA, 253 nt
Filed under: uncultured bacterium
Lineage: Bacteria
Description: partial 16S ribosomal RNA
Rfam family: Bacterial small subunit ribosomal RNA
Source: RNAcentral
UACAGAGGGUGCAAGCGUUAAUCAGAAUUACUGGGCGUAAAGCGCGCGUAGGUGGUUUGUUAAGUUGGAUGUGAAAGCCCCGGGCUCAACCUGGGAACUGCAUCCAAAACUGGCAAGCUAGAGUACGGUAGAGGGUGGUGGAAUUUCCUGUGUAGCGGUGAAAUGCGUAGAUAUAGGAAGGAACACCAGUGGCGAAGGCGACCACCUGGACUGAUACUGACACUGAGGUGCGAAAGCGUGGGGAGCAAACAGG